This 557-nucleotide ribosomal RNA is filed under the name uncultured bacterium. RNAcentral describes it as "bacterial SSU rRNA". It matches the Rfam family "Bacterial small subunit ribosomal RNA", at positions 102 to 694 of the family's 1533-position model. The record is from RNAcentral.
ACGGGUGCGUAACGCGUGGGAAUCUGCCCUCUGGUUCGGAAUAACUCAGGGAAACUUGAGCUAAUACCGGAUAAUGUCUUCGGACCAAAGAUUUAUCGCCUGAGGAUGAGCCCGCGUCGGAUUAGCUAGUUGGUGGGGUAAAAGCCUACCAAGGCGACGAUCCGUAGCUGGUCUGAGAGGAUGAUCAGCCACACUGGGACUGAGACACGGCCCAGACUCCUACGGGAGGCAGCAGUAGGGAAUAUUGGACAAUGGGCGAAAGCCUGAUCCAGCAAUGCCGCGUGAGUGAUGAAGGCCUUAGGGUUGUAAAGCUCUUUUACCCGGGAUGAUAAUGACAGUACCGGGAGAAUAAGCCCCGGCUAACUCCGUGCCAACAGCCGCGGUAAUACGGAGGGGGCUAGCGUUGUUCGGAAUUACUGGGCGUAAAGCGCACGUAGGCGGCUUUGCAAGUCAGAGGUGAAAGCCCGGGGCUCAACCCCGGAAUUGCCUUUGAGACUGCAUCGCUAGAAUUGUGGAGAGGUAAGUGGAAUUCCGAGUGUAGAGGUGUAAUUCGUAGA